Molecule: non-coding RNA, 174 nt
Filed under: chicken gut metagenome
Description: Lysine riboswitch
Rfam family: Lysine riboswitch aptamer
About the family: Riboswitches are metabolite binding domains within certain messenger RNAs that serve as precision sensors for their corresponding targets. Allosteric rearrangement of mRNA structure is mediated by ligand binding, and this results in modulation of gene expression. This family includes riboswitches that sense lysine in a number of genes involved in lysine metabolism, including lysC.
Source: RNAcentral
GAAGAUAGAGGCUGCGGUAUCGAUCAGUAAGGAGCAUGCGAGGCUCUCCAGGCCGUCUGAGCAUCCCCGAAAGGUAAUGCCGCCGAAGAAAACAGCUAUGGCAACGCUGUUUGUCUGGGGCCGUGCUGAACAAGCCCGGCACUCUCAUCGCGGUUGAGAUGGGGAGCUAUCUUG